This 767-nucleotide ribosomal RNA is filed under the name uncultured bacterium. RNAcentral's name for it is "bacterial SSU rRNA". It matches the Rfam family "Bacterial small subunit ribosomal RNA", at positions 8 to 796 of the family's 1533-position model. The record is from RNAcentral.
AGAGUUUGAUCAUGGCUCAGAAUCAACGCUGGCGGCGCGCUUAACACAUGCAAGUCGAACGAGAAAGCCCGCAAGGGUGAGUAAAGUGGCGUACGGGUGAGUAACACGUGGGUAAUCUACCUUUUGGUGGGGAAUAACGCUGGGAAACCGGCGCUAAUACCGCAUAAGCUCGUCAUUAUCAAGAUGACGCGGAAAGGAGCAAUUCGCCGAAAGAGGAGCCCGCGGCUGAUUAGCUAGUUGGUGAGGUAAAGGCUCACCAAGGCAAUGAUCGGUAGCCGGCCUGAGAGGGCACACGGCCACACUGGCACUGAAACACGGGCCAGACUCCUACGGGAGGCAGCAGUGGGGAAUCUUGCACAAUGGGGGAAACCCUGAUGCAGCGACGCCGCGUGAGUGAUGACGCCCUUCGGGGUGUAAAGCUCUUUCGGCAGGGACGAUAAUGACGGUACCUGAAGAAGAAGCUGCGGCUAACUACGUGCCAGCAGCCGCGGUAAUACGUAGGCAGCGAGCGUUGUUCGGAGUUACUGGGCGUAAAGAGUGCGUAGGCGGUUUUCUAAGUUUGGUGUGAAAUCUCCCGGCUUAACUGGGAGGGUGCGCCGAAGACUGGAAGGCUUGAGUAUGGGAGAGGUAAGCGGAAUUCCUGGUGUAGCGGUGAAAUGCGUAGAUAUCAGGAGGAACACCUGCGGUGUAGACGGCUUACUGGACCAUAACUGACGCUGAGGCACGAAAGCGUGGGUAGCAAACAGGAUUAGAUACCCUAGUAGUCC